UACAGAGGUCCCAAGCGUUGUUCGGAUUCACUGGGCGUAAAGGGUGCGUAGGUGGCGAGGUAAGUCCGAUGUGAAAUCUCCGAGCUUAACUCGGAAAUGGCAUUGGAUACUAUCUCGCUAGAGGGUUGGAGGGGAGACUGGAAUUCUCGGUGUAGCAGUGAAAUGCGUAGAUAUCGAGAGGAACGCCGGUGGCGAAAGCGAGUCUCUGGACAACUCCUGACACUGAGGCACGAAAGCUAGGGGAGCAAACAGG
This 253-nucleotide ribosomal RNA is filed under the name uncultured bacterium. Its description in RNAcentral is "partial 16S ribosomal RNA". It matches the Rfam family "Bacterial small subunit ribosomal RNA", at positions 524 to 776 of the family's 1533-position model. The record is from RNAcentral.